This is a small nucleolar RNA of Syngnathus acus (greater pipefish), 65 nucleotides long. NCBI's taxonomy places the organism in Eukaryota, Metazoa, Chordata, Actinopteri, Syngnathiformes, Syngnathidae. The record is from RefSeq and is a predicted model, not a curated record.
GUGCAAUGAUGAAGAAACUUAGCUCACUUUGAUUUGCAGUGAAACGACAAGAACUCCUGAGCACC